This 203-nucleotide long non-coding RNA is filed under the name Daucus carota (carrot). RNAcentral describes it as "long non-coding RNA (DCAR_LNC002377)". The record is from RNAcentral. Lineage: Eukaryota; Viridiplantae; Streptophyta; Magnoliopsida; Apiales; Apiaceae.
CCGAUUGCUUAGGUGAAAUAAGUCUUUGUGGGUAAGGGACUCUCGGUUUAUAGACUACUUCACUUUGCAACUCGGGUUCCGGGUUUGGGUCACUCGACUCCUCACGGGCUUUUGAACUCUCGGGUUUGUCAUGAUUAAUGGUAGUGAAGGGUGGACUUGGAUUAGAAGUCGAAUCCCCUUUCUUACCAAGGUUCUCACCAACG